This 907-nucleotide ribosomal RNA is filed under the name uncultured Tenacibaculum sp. Its description in RNAcentral is "bacterial SSU rRNA". It matches the Rfam family "Bacterial small subunit ribosomal RNA", at positions 9 to 916 of the family's 1533-position model. The record is from RNAcentral. Lineage: Bacteria; Pseudomonadati; Bacteroidota; Flavobacteriia; Flavobacteriales; Flavobacteriaceae.
GAGUUUGAUCCUGGCUCAGGAUGAACGCUAGCGGCAGGCUUAACACAUGCAAGUCGAGGGGUAACAUUGUAGCUUGCUACAGAUGACGACCGGCGCACGGGUGCGUAACGCGUAUAGAAUCUGCCUUCUACAGAGGGAUAGCCUUUAGAAAUGAAGAUUAAUACCUCAUAACACUUUGGAAUGGCAUCGUUUUAAAGUUAAAGAUUUAUCGGUAGAAGAUGACUAUGCGUCCUAUUAGCUAGAUGGUAAGGUAACGGCUUACCAUGGCAACGAUAGGUAGGGGCCCUGAGAGGGAGAUCCCCCACACUGGUACUGAGACACGGACCAGACUCCUACGGGAGGCAGCAGUGGGGAAUAUUGGGCAAUGGAGGCAACUCUGACCCAGCCAUGCCGCGUGCAGGAAGACUGCCCUAUGGGUUGUAAACUGCUUUUAUACAGGAAGAAACGUACCUACGAGUAGGUAUUUGACGGUACUGUAAGAAUAAGGACCGGCUAACUCCGUGCCAGCAGCCGCGGUAAUACGGAGGGUCCGAGCGUUAUCCGGAAUCAUUGGGUUUAAAGGGUCCGCACGCGGUCGAUUAAGUCAGAGGUGAAAUCCCAUAGCUUAACUAUGGAACUGCCUUUGAUACUGGUUGACUUGAGUAAUACGGAAGUAGAUAGAAUAUGUAGUGUAGCGGUGAAAUGCAUAGAUAUUACAUAGAAUACCGAUUGCGAAGGCAGUCUACUACGUAUUUACUGACGCCCAUGGACGAAAGCGUGGGGAGCGAACAGGAUUAGAUACCCUGGUAGUCCACGCCGUAAACGAUGGACACUAGUUGUUGGGAAUCAUCUCAGUGACUAAGCGAAAGUGAUAAGUGUCCCACCUGGGGAGUACGAUCGCAAGGUUGAAACUCAAAGGAAUUGACGG